CACCACAAAUACUUGACGAACAGAGGCUCGGGACGACCAGGCACAUCGGCAGCUCCACCAAACUGGCUGAUUACUGACCACCACGGAGGCGGAGCACCAGGUGGAGGGUGGACUCCUUCUGGAUGUUGUAGUCGGCGAGGGUGCGUCCAUCCUCCAGCUGCUUGCCAGCGAAGAUCAGACGCUGCUGGUCUGGGGGAAUCCCCUCCUUGUCCUGGAUCUUGGCCUUCACAUUAUCAAUGGUGUCGGAGCUCUCAACCUCCAAAGUGAUGGUCUUCCCAGUCAAGGUCUUCACGAAGAUCUGCAUACCACCACGGAGACGAAGCACCAGGUGGAGGGUAGACUCCUUCUGGAUGUUGUAGUCGGCGAGGGUGCGGCCAUCCUCGAGCUGCUUGCCGGCGAAGAUGAGACGCUGCUGGUCUGGGGGGAUGCCCUCCUUGUCCUGGAUCUUGGCCUUGACGUUGUCGAUGGUGUCCGAGCUCUCAACCUCCAGGGUGAUGGUCUUGCCUGUGAGGGUCUUGACAAAGAUCUGCAUACCACCACGAAGGCGGAGCACAAGGUGGAGGGUGGACUCCUUCUGGAUGUUGUAGUCAGCAAGGGUCCUGCCAUCCUCCAGCUGCUUGCCAGCAAAGAUGAGGCGCUGCUGGUCCGGGGGAAUGCCCUCCUUGUCCUGGAUCUUGGCCUUGACAUUGUCGAUGGUAUCAGAAGACUCCACCUCGAGGGUGAUGGUCUUGCCGGUCAGAGUCUUCACGAAGAUUUGCAUGCCUCCCCUGAGACGGAGGACAAGGUGAAGCGUUGACUCCUUCUGGAUGUUGUAGUCAGCAAGGGUCCUGCCGUCCUCAAGCUGCUUGCCGGCAAAGAUGAGACGCUGCUGGUCCGGGGGAAUGCCCUCCUUGUCCUGGAUCUUGGCCUUGACGUUGUCGAUGGUGUCAGAAGAUUCCACCUCGAGGGUGAUGGUCUUGCCGGUCAGUGUCUUGACAAAGAUCUGCAUGCCACCACGGAGGCGGAGGACAAGGUGGAGGGUGGACUCCUUCUGGAUGUUGUAGUCAGCAAGGGUCCUGCCAUCCUCCAGCUGCUUGCCGGCGAAGAUGAGACGCUGCUGGUCUGGGGGGAUGCCCUCUUUGUCCUGGAUCUUGGCCUUGAC
RNAcentral lists this long non-coding RNA (1141 nucleotides) under Oryza sativa (Asian cultivated rice). Its description in RNAcentral is "long non-coding RNA (OSAT_LNC000265)". The record is from RNAcentral. Lineage: Eukaryota; Viridiplantae; Streptophyta; Magnoliopsida; Poales; Poaceae.